ACGUUAGCGGCGGACGGGUGAGUAACACGUGGGUAACCUACCUAUAAGACUUGGAUAACUCCGGGAAACCGGGGCUAAUACCGGAUAACACAUGAAACCGCAUGGUUUCAUGAUGAAAGACGGUUUUGCUGUCACUUAUAGAUGGACCCGCGGCGUAUUAGCUAGUUGGUAAGGUAACGGCUUACCAAGGCAACGAUACGUAGCCGACCUGAGAGGGUGAUCGGCCACACUGGAACUGAGACACGGUCCAG
RNAcentral lists this ribosomal RNA (251 nucleotides) under uncultured Staphylococcus sp. RNAcentral describes it as "partial 16S ribosomal RNA". It matches the Rfam family "Bacterial small subunit ribosomal RNA", at positions 89 to 334 of the family's 1533-position model. Lineage: Bacteria; Bacillati; Bacillota; Bacilli; Caryophanales; Staphylococcaceae. The record is from RNAcentral.